GCGAGUUCGAAUUUUUCUAUUUUUAGAAGAAAAAAAGUCAGUUUUUUUUAUUAUUUUAAAUUUUUAGACUAUAAAUCUUAAACUCUAUAUCCUAAAAGUCUAAAUACUAAUCCUAUCUUCUAAAUUCUAUAAAAAUAAAGGUUAAAAGAUAAUUUUAAAACAAAACAAAAAAUUAAUUCAUAAUAUUAAUUACUUAAAAAUUGGUUUUCUAAUUUUUUUAGUAACAUAGACAUCUGGUACUUGGCAUUCAAUAUAUGUAUAUACAGUGUUGGUGGUUUUAGUUACCUUGCUUGAGAUAUCUAAUUGAUAAGAAAGUAGUUUAUAAUUAACUUUAUUAAUUUAGUUUUGAUAUAGUAAUAACACAGACAAAUUUUAUAUUGCCUCUCAACUUAAUACACUUUUUAAUUAUCGGAUAAAAGCAUACAUAUAAUACAUUCACGCUAGUUAAUUAAUUGAUCACAAAUAUAUUUUAUAAGUAUGCUAACUUGCCGUAAAAAAUAAUACAAAUGUUUAUGAUAGAAAAAAAAAAAACACAUCAGAGUAUCAGACAUUAGACAUUAGACAUAUACAAAUUAAAAUAAACAUAUUAUAGUCUUAGUUUUUAAUAAUACUUAUUUAUUUCUAUUAAUUUUGUAAGAUAUGAAAAAGUAUAAGGUAUCAACAUAUUAUCUGCCAACUUAUUGUCAAUAAUAAUUAAUUAUUAUAUUUUAAACACAUAUAUAAAGAGACACAUCCAGAAAAUAUAUUUAUAAAGACACUUCUAUUAAACACAGCCAUAAAAAAGAUAUUUUUAUUAGACACAUUUACAAAGACACUUUCAUUAAACACAAUUAU
Molecule: long non-coding RNA, 834 nt
Filed under: Arachis ipaensis
Lineage: Eukaryota; Viridiplantae; Streptophyta; Magnoliopsida; Fabales; Fabaceae
Description: long non-coding RNA (AIPA_LNC000862)
Source: RNAcentral